Molecule: long non-coding RNA, 1354 nt
Filed under: Monodelphis domestica (gray short-tailed opossum)
Lineage: Eukaryota; Metazoa; Chordata; Mammalia; Didelphimorphia; Didelphidae
Description: lncRNA (ENSMODG00000039110.1)
Source: RNAcentral
GAACUUUGUGUUUAUUUAGUUGGAUGCAUCUUGUAUUACUCCAUUAGAAUGUAAUCUUCAGGAAGUACCCAUGCCAUUCAUGUUCACGCUUCCCUCUUAUUAUAUUAGUACUUAAUAAAUACUCUAUCUAUUGAGGAUACACAGGUCACAUGGCAAGAACAAGAAAAAAAGCUGUACAGCCAGAUAUCUUUGCCAUGACUGGAAAAAACAAAGGGAAUUUCUAACCCUUAAUGGAAAACUUUUGGAAAGAUGUGGACCAGAAUUGCACAAGAUGGGCAAGAAGAAAUGAAUGGAUUAUAAUUAGUAUUGUUGGAAGGAACAAUGGGACCAUGUCAGGGGCCACUGCUCUCCUUGCUUUUCCCCACAGGUGGGAGACAAGAGCAUGGAUAUGGAGUUGAGUGGAAAGUGAAGAGUCGAAGAUGACUUCAUCGUUUUGAACCUGAGUGAUUGGAAGGAUAAAGAAGAAGUCAAGAAAAGAGAGGACACAAAAUGGUUUAGAGCCAUUACCUUUUUUUAGGCAUUCUUAUUCUGGGAUCUAUAAACUUGUUUUAUUAAAAAAUAUUUUGAAAACUAUUUCAAUGUAAUUUUCUUCAUACUUUCUAUGCAUUUUAUUUUAUGCAUUUAAAAACAUUAAUUUGAGAUGGGUUAAUAGGCUUCACUAGACUGCAAGACGCGUCUGUUGAUGGUUUAUCUCUUAACAUCAGUACUUUCUUAGGACAGGAUAGAUGCUGGGACAAAAUGAGGCACUUGCAAGACUGAACAUUUAACAUGAGGAGGUUUACUUAACCCUAACGCAUCAAGGAUAUGUAGCAAGUAUACUGUGACAGUUUCUCUUGACAUUGUCCCUUCUCUUCUCCCAAUUUCCACUUGAAAAUCUAGAUUAGCAGAGUAGGGUAGGAUGUGACUCGUGUGGGCUUCAGAAAUCCACCAAGGGAAAAGGAAUCUAGAUCCACAUGGCAGAACUAUCUAUUCCCUUAGAUGACCAAAAUGCAGCAGCCAUGAAGGAAACCAGGGGCUACCAAGUCCCAGGGCCAGCUUUGUUGUAGGCCUACCCCAAAUUGGUUGGUACAGAGAGGGAGAAGAUAAUGAAAUGGCACCAGAGAAGCCAGGGCAAUCAAGGAGACUUAUCAGGUCCCAGAGGCAGCCUCCCCAAAUUGUGGGUGGAAGGAAGGAAGCUAUGUCGGAGACACACUGGUCCUAUUACAGGUCCAUGACCCCCCAAAAAGAUUAAGAAAUCCCUGCCUCACUUGAUUCCCACAACAGCUUUGCUAGGUAAAGUACUGCAGGUACUAUUAUAGCCAUUUAUAGAUGGGGAAAUUAAUACUGUGAGAAGUUAAGUAAUUCAGCCAUAAUC